ACAUGGGGUGGGGGGGUUGUUCAGGUCCUGUCAGGUCACAGCACAUUGAAGUUGGGUUGGAAAGGUCCUUAAAGUUCAUAGAAACAUGGGAUCAUGGAAUGGUUGGGUUGGAAAGGUCCUUAAAGAUCACAGAACACUGAGGCUGUGCUGUUCGGGUCCUGGCAGGUCACAGAACACUGAGGUUGUGUUGGGCAGGUCCUUAAAGGUCACAGCACACUGGGGUUGUAUUGUUAAGGUCCUUACAGAUCACAACACACAGUUGUGCCAUCCAGGUCCUGGCAGGUCACAACAUGGUUGUGCCGUUCAGGUCCUUACAGAUCACAGCACACAGCUGUACCAUCCAGGUCCUGUCAGGUCACAACACACAGCUGUACCAUCCAGGUCCUUACAGAUCACAGCACACAGCUGUCCCAUCCAGGUCCUGUCAGAUCACAGCACACAGCUGUACCAUCCAGGUCCUGUCAGAUCACAGCACACAGUUGUACCAUCCAGGUCCUUACAGGUCACAACACACAGCUGUGCCAUCCAGGUCCUUACAGAUCACAACACACAGCUGUGCCAUCCAGGUCCUGGCAGGUCACAACACACAGCUGU
This 594-nucleotide long non-coding RNA is filed under the name Coturnix japonica (Japanese quail). RNAcentral describes it as "lncRNA (ENSCJPG00005006739.1)". The record is from RNAcentral. Lineage: Eukaryota; Metazoa; Chordata; Aves; Galliformes; Phasianidae.